Molecule: non-coding RNA, 22 nt
Filed under: Rattus norvegicus (Norway rat)
Lineage: Eukaryota; Metazoa; Chordata; Mammalia; Rodentia; Muridae
Source: RNAcentral
UGAAGCUGGGUGCCAAGGAAGC